Molecule: ribosomal RNA, 253 nt
Filed under: uncultured bacterium
Lineage: Bacteria
Description: partial 16S ribosomal RNA
Rfam family: Bacterial small subunit ribosomal RNA
Source: RNAcentral
UACGAAGGGUGCAAGCGUUACUCGGAAUUACUGGGCGUAAAGCGCACGUAGGCGGAUCGAUCAGUCAGGGGUGAAAUCCCAGAGCUCAACUCUGGAACUGCCUUUGAUACUGUCGAUCUGGAGUAUGGAAGAGGUGAGUGGAAUUCCGAGUGUAGAGGUGAAAUUCGUAGAUAUUCGGAGGAACACCAGUGGCGAAGGCGGCUCACUGGUCCAUUACUGACGCUGAGGUGCGAAAGCGUGGGGAGCAAACAGG